This 390-nucleotide ribosomal RNA is filed under the name uncultured bacterium. RNAcentral's name for it is "bacterial SSU rRNA". It matches the Rfam family "Bacterial small subunit ribosomal RNA", at positions 505 to 898 of the family's 1533-position model. The record is from RNAcentral.
GUGCCAGCAGCCGCGGUAACACGUAGGGGGCGAGCGUUGUUCGGAAUUAUUGGGCGUAAAGGGCAUGUAGGCGGUUCCGUAAGCCUGGCGUGAAAUGGUAAGGCUCAACCUUAUCCUGCGUCGGGAACUGCGGGACUAGAAUCACUGAGGGGGAGAUAGAAUUCCAGGUGUAGGGGUGAAAUCUGUAGAUAUCUGGAAGAAUACCGGUGGCGAAGGCGAUCUCCUGGCAGAUGAUUGACGCUGAGGUGCGAAAGUGCGGGGAGCAAACAGGAUUAGAUACCCUGGUAGUCCGCACGGUAAACGAUGUGCACUAGGUGUUGGGGCGGAUGUCUCAGUGCCGGAGUUAACGUGUUAAGUGCACCGCCUGGGGAGUAUGCCCGCAAGGGUGAA